Molecule: long non-coding RNA, 2482 nt
Organism: Cyprinus carpio carpio
Lineage: Eukaryota; Metazoa; Chordata; Actinopteri; Cypriniformes; Cyprinidae
Source: Ensembl
CAGUUCACCACAGGAAGAAUAAAAAAUUAAAAAAGUAAAAGAAAAUAAAACUGAUGAAUGGAUAAGGACACCUGGAGAGAGACAGGGUAAUUAUGGACACAAUUUCAUGAAGCUCUUUAUUCAUGCUGAGUCAGUCAGUGCUGGAAAUCAUGACUAUUGUGUGUGUUGUUACAGAGCUCAAUUUACUGCCAGCAAAACACAUUGGCCUUUUGAUACAAAAAAAGGCAACUGUCAGACUUUGUCCCGCGCUUUGUAUUGUGUUAAUUUGUCCCAAGUGUUUCCUAUGUUUCAUUAAUCCCAGGUGUUCCUCGUCCUCCCCUCAUCAAGUCCUGUAUAUUUAGUUAGUCCCAUUCUAAGUUUCUCUGUCAGCUGUUAAAUGUUUUCCUGUGUUUUCCCCAUUGCAAACUCCAUUAAAUUCCACGUAGAAGUGUUCUCCAGCGUCUCCUCGUCUGCCUUUUCCAGCGUAAUGUGACAAAACAGCCGCCCAAGACAGAAAGUAAAGUGGCGCCUGUUCUCCCCACGUUUAUUUUCAGUUUUUUGAAAAGUGUUUUGUUUUUCCUGCUCGAUCCAACGUGCUUAAAUGGAGGAACGAGGAAUGUUUAUCACAAUGGCUCAGGUGAGUCCAGACACCAUCAUCUUCGUGAGGGCAUUUGUGCCGCUCGCCUUCGCCAGCUCCCUCGAAGGAGAAACCCUUGUGACCCUAUUCUGGAUCGGCAUGACAUUCCAUCAUUUCACGGAGCUCCAAGACACCAACGCCCUCGACUUGAAGGUGACAGUCAUUCGGUGUCUGGAGAGUCUCCGACCCCAAUCUGGAACCCCUCCGCCAGCAGUUCCCGAGUCAAGUCAGCCGGCAAUUCCUGAGUCAAGCCCGCCGGAUGUUAAUGUGGCAAGCCCGCCAGACCUCCAUGUGGCACUCGCUCCGGUUCCCGCUCCACGUAAUCGCCCUCCAGAGCACCCUCAAAUGCCGGCUCCAGCCCCAAAACUCGCUCCAGUGCCAGCUCCUCGAAAGCAUUUUGCUGUGCCUGUUCCUCCAGAGUGCCCUCCAGGGCCAGCACCACGUAGUGGGGGGGUUGUAGGGCUCCAGCCAUAGAGGUGCCAUGGCGCCCCGAGUCCCCUGCUCCGCCAUGGCCUCCCGAGUCCCCUGAGCGGGUACCGCUCUGGAGGCCCACUGUCCCGUGUCUGUCCUGAGGGACCUUCAGAGCACCCCCAAAACCUGUUCCAGUGUAACGUGACCGCAAUAAAAGCUUAGCCCUUUAGUUUAGCCUUAUAAUGUGCAUGACAGUAUACACGUGUGUGUGUGUGUGUGUGUGUGUGUGUGUGUGUGUAUUAUUAUUAUUAUUUUAUAUAUAUAGAUGUUUUAAUGUUUUUGGAAAUCUCUUAUGCUCACCAAGACUCUGAAAAAUAAAUAUACUUAAAUGUAUUUGUAUUUUUGGCAUAGUAAACUGGUUUACAUAAAGUCUGCUAAAUGGAACACUUAGAAUAUUUAAAUUGAUUCAUAUAUUUAUUUUUAGCAGGGUGUAUGUAUGUAUUUUUUGAUAGAUUUAUUGCUUAUGCAAAUGCGGUGAAGAACAGUUUUAGGUUUAGUUUUGGCUUUAAUUAGAGUAGCAAUGGAUUGUGUGAAGAAAUGAAUUCAUGAAGCCAUAGGGUUGUUGUUGUUGUUGUUAUUGUUCCAUGCCACUUCCUCCCUGAUUCAUGUUAAUAGCAAAUGACUGAGUGCCUCGUCCUUGACAUCAGUCUGUAAUAUACAUCAACAAAACCACAGGCAGCCUGAGCUCUAGAGGCAGUCAUGUUUAUAAGUCACUAAAUAUUUACAGUCCAUAGACUAUAUAAAUACAAUACAUAAACUAAAUCCUGAUAGGCUGAAAGAAAAUAUCAGAGAUUAUAGUGAAUAUUUUUUGGAAUCUGGGUAUUGAGGAACCCUGGCAAAAAUUUUGCAGUUGUUGUUUGUUUUGAUAUUUUAGGCAGAAAGAAUAAAUUGAAGGUACACACUAUUGGGAGGCUUCUGGCGAUCACAGUGAAAGUGUUGCUGAUGAAUGAAAGGCGAUUGGUAUUUUUUCCCCCAAGUGGUUCUGCAGAGCUGACAGAAAAAAUACUGCCAACAGACAGAGCGAAUGAUGGGAAAUUCAUGUGCUGCUCUUCACACACAAAAGCAUCACAAAAAGCAUUUCAUGAACACAUGAUUCUUCCUUCAAGAGCCUAACCCUCACCCAAUUCUCUUGUAGCAAAAUAUGUGACAAAAAUACACAAGUGAGCACACCUGCCUGCACGUCUCCUUCAUAAAUGUCUCUUGUACACACAGCUUUUUUCUUUCUGCAUUACCCUUUUACCCAGUGUCACCUUUGCAGAAGGUUAAAUAGCGUUAUGGCCAAAGUGUAUACAAACCGAUUGGGUUUGAAAUAAGCAGGCACGACAAACAGGGCUGAAAAAAAGAAGGAAAAAAGAGAAAAAAGAGGGGGGUUGUAGGGGGGUUAAUAAACUGGAG